UACGUAGGUGGCCAAUUAAGUCAGUGGUGAAAUCCUGCCGCUUAACGGUAGAACUGCCAUUGAAACUGGUUGGCUUGAGUACAGUUGAGGUAGGCGGAAUGUGUAGUGUAGCGGUGAAAUGCUUAGAUAUUACACAGAACCCCGAUUGCGAAGGCAGCUUACUAAACUGUAACUGACACUGAGGUACGAAAGCGUGGGGAGCGAACA
RNAcentral lists this ribosomal RNA (207 nucleotides) under uncultured bacterium. Its description in RNAcentral is "partial 16S ribosomal RNA". It matches the Rfam family "Bacterial small subunit ribosomal RNA", at positions 568 to 774 of the family's 1533-position model. The record is from RNAcentral.